GGCUUAGAGUUUGAUCAUGGCUCAGGAUGAACGCUGGCGGCGUGCUUAACACAUGCAAGUCGAGCGAAGCACUUACUUUUGAUUUCUUCGGAAUGACGAGGUCUGUGACUUAGCGGCGGACGGGUGAGUAACGCGUGGGCAACCUGCCUCACACAGGGGGAUAACAGUUAGAAAUGACUGCUAAUACCGCAUAAGACCACAGCACCGCAUGGUGCAGGGGUAAAAACUCCGGUGGUGUGAGAUGGGCCCGCGUCUGAUUAGGUAGUUUGUGCGGUAACGGCGCACCAAGCCGACGAUCAGUAGCCGACCUGAGAGGGCGACCGGCCACAUUGGGACUGAGACACGGCCCAAACUCCUACGGGAGGCAGCAGUGGGGAAUAUUGCACAAUGGGGGAAACCCUGAUGCAGCGACGCCGCGUGAAGGAUGAAGUAUUUCGGUAUGUAAACUUCUAUCAGCAGGGAAGAAAAUGACGGUACCUGACUAAGAAGCCCCGGCUAACUACGUGCCAGCAGCCGCGGUAAUACGUAGGGGGCAAGCGUUAUCCGGAUUUACUGGGUGUAAAGGGAGCGUAGACGGCUGUGCAAGUCUGGAGUGAAAACCCGGGGCUCAACCCCGGGAUUGCUUUGGAACUGUGUAGCUGGAGUACCGGAGAGGCAAGUG
RNAcentral lists this ribosomal RNA (661 nucleotides) under uncultured organism. RNAcentral's name for it is "bacterial SSU rRNA". It matches the Rfam family "Bacterial small subunit ribosomal RNA", at positions 1 to 663 of the family's 1533-position model. The record is from RNAcentral.